RNAcentral lists this long non-coding RNA (343 nucleotides) under Apteryx owenii (little spotted kiwi). RNAcentral's name for it is "lncRNA (ENSAOWG00000002529.1)". The record is from RNAcentral. Lineage: Eukaryota; Metazoa; Chordata; Aves; Apterygiformes; Apterygidae.
AUGACCUCCCAGCCGCAGUUUCGCAAACCAACAGCAGCACUCUACAGAGCGCAACGCAUGACCAUCUGCUCUGCUCUUGGUAGUCUCACACGCUGUACCAGGGAGAAAAGCUAUUGCACAACACAAGGAGCAGCAAGAUGUUUGUUUGUUUUUCCAGGUGAUAAUUUUGGCCUCGCAGUUACCAUAAACAUGACGAAUGGGUCUGCUGUGGAUUUAACACAAUUUUGUGUGAUUUAUUUCAAGUAGAAAUAUACAUAUGAAGAAAUGAAGAAAACAUAUCCUACAUCCCGAAUCUAGAUCAAACCUUUUGGUCUCAGGUAGUCUGGGAUUCCAAACCACUCUG